UCUCUCGCUAUUUUUACUCUUAUCGUUCUAACCUAUCUUAAUCUCUAGCUGCGCCUCUUUCUUCUCCAUCUUCUUCAUCUCCUCCAUGGAACCAGAAACUGAAAAAUUCAGAAAAAAUCACUUCAAUCUUGUGAUCCUUACCCCAAACCCCUGCUCCAUCUUAUCUUCUCCAUAAAACUCAAACUCUCCGAUAAACCCAAGGGUAAUAGCAACAGUUUGUUUCUCAUUAAACAAACUCCUUGACUCACCUUUUAUACUAAGAAAUAAAACUGGUAGAUCUGAAUCGAUUCAAGUUAAUCUUUGUGAUUUCAGUUGAUGGAACAACCCAAGUCUACAUGGGUGAAGCAAAAAGUUGAAAUGGCCAAAGAAAUUAAAUCGGGAGAAAAAGUUGCAUGUCAAAAAUUAGACCAGAAUAAGAAGUUAAAUGACAUGUUUGGAUCCUAGUGGAGCAAGGAAGAGCUUAGACGCUUUAUGAAGCAUAUUGUAUGGGAAGAUUGGGAAGAUUGUACCACAAUCCAACCAAGCUUUGACCCUGAAGGAUAAAUUCGGAUCGGUUCUCUGGUUUCUCUGGUUUUCCAUCGGGGGAGAUCACCAAUAUUAUUUUGAUAUGAUUCUUGUCAAACUAAGGCAGUCGGGAUACAAAGAAAGGUACUACAAGGAGAUUGAUAAAUUCAAAGAUGAUCUUGGGCAGUUGAGAUGGAAUUGGAGGUGCAUUAAGAUGCUGGGAUGUAGUACUACCUGAUGCACUUGGUCUAAUCUUUAAGAAACUAUCUCUGCAAGAUAUUCUAAUUGUUGGCAAAGUUGUUGUUGGACCUUAUUUUUGAGGAUUGUAGUCGCCUGUAAUCGCAGGACAAAAUUAAUCAAGUGAUUGAAAUGCUCAUUUGAAGCUAUGAUUUUGAUUGUAGGCAAAGUUAUUGUUAUGUGUACACUAUAGGGCUUUACUGAAAUUACAGUGUUAUGUGCGGAAUAAGGCUUAUCCCGGAGGCGCGAUGGCAAAAGGGCAAAUCAUUGAAGAAUCUCUUGUAUUGAUUGAGCGCCAUAUGAAUACUGCAAAGUUUAAUCAAUUUGAUUUCAAUCAGAUGUUAAUAAGUUGUCUUUUUUCAGGAUCUGUGAAUAUUCUCUACUUGUUUUUUUUUCCUUAUGUACAGUUGUAAGAAUGUUCUCAUGCACAUGUGAUUUGCUUAAUUUUCUUA
Molecule: RNA transcript, 1193 nt
Organism: Papaver somniferum (opium poppy)
Lineage: Eukaryota; Viridiplantae; Streptophyta; Magnoliopsida; Ranunculales; Papaveraceae
Exons: 7
Source: RefSeq, a predicted model, not a curated record